Molecule: ribosomal RNA, 255 nt
Filed under: uncultured bacterium
Lineage: Bacteria
Description: partial 16S ribosomal RNA
Rfam family: Bacterial small subunit ribosomal RNA
Source: RNAcentral
UACGUAGGGUGCGAGCGUUGUCCGGAAUUAUUGGGCGUAAAGAGCUUGUAGGCGGUUUGUCGCGUCUGCUGUGAAAAUCCGGGGCUCAACCCCGGACUUGCAGUGGGUACGGGCAGACUAGAGUGUGGUAGGGGAGACUGGAAUUCCUGGUGUAGCGGUGAAAUGACGCAGAUAUCAGGAGGAACACCGAUGGCGAAGGCAGGUCUCUGGGCCACUACUGACGCUGAGAAGCGGAAAGCAUGGGGAGCGAACAGG